RNAcentral lists this ribosomal RNA (351 nucleotides) under Aromia bungii. RNAcentral describes it as "SSU rRNA". It matches the Rfam family "Eukaryotic small subunit ribosomal RNA", at positions 1175 to 1489 of the family's 1831-position model. RNAcentral also lists the same sequence under 1 other name. The record is from RNAcentral. Lineage: Eukaryota; Metazoa; Arthropoda; Insecta; Coleoptera; Cerambycidae.
AGUGGAGCCUGCGGCUUAAUUUGACUCAACACGGGAAACCUCACCAGGCCCGGACACCGGAAGGAUUGACAGAUUGAGAGCUCUUUCUUGAUUCGGUGGGUGGUGGUGCAUGGCCGUUCUUAGUUGGUGGAGCGAUUUGUCUGGUUAAUUCCGAUAACGAACGAGACUCUAGCCUGCUAACUAGGCGUAAUUCGACAUCCCAAAGGCCCGCCGGUUUGGGGUUUCGACUCCUUGCCGCGCGCGGUUUUUACUGUCGGCGUACAAACAAUUCUUCUUAGAGGGACAGGCGGCUUCUAGCCGCACGAGAUUGAGCAAUAACAGGUCUGUGAUGCCCUUAGAUGUUCUGGGCCG